GUGGGUAGUUUGACUGGGGCGGUCUCCUCCCAAAGCGUAACGGAGGAGCACGAAGGUUAGCUAAUCCUGGUCGGACAUCAGGAGGUUAGUGCAAUGGCAUAAGCUAGCUUGACUGCGAGCGUGACGGCGCGAGCAGGUGCGAAAGCAGGUCAUAGUGAUCCGGUGGUUCUGAAUGGAAGGGCCAUCGCUCAACGGAUAAAAGGUACUCCGGGGAUAACAGGCUGAUACCGCCCAAGAGUUCAUAUCGACGGCGGUGUUUGGCACCUCGAUGUCGGCUCAUCACAUCCUGGGGCUGAAGUAGGUCCCAAGGGUAUGGCUGUUCGCCAUUUAAAGUGGUACGCGAGCUGGGUUUAGAACGUCGUG
This 363-nucleotide ribosomal RNA is filed under the name Klebsiella pneumoniae. RNAcentral describes it as "partial 23S ribosomal RNA". It matches the Rfam family "Bacterial large subunit ribosomal RNA", at positions 2261 to 2623 of the family's 2925-position model. Lineage: Bacteria; Pseudomonadati; Pseudomonadota; Gammaproteobacteria; Enterobacterales; Enterobacteriaceae. The record is from RNAcentral.